This is a non-coding RNA of Mycena leptocephala, 92 nucleotides long. Lineage: Eukaryota; Fungi; Basidiomycota; Agaricomycetes; Agaricales; Mycenaceae. The record is from the annotation of a GenBank genome assembly.
UCGGAUGUGGUGUACGGAACACAGCGAGGUAUUGCAGCCCUUGAAAAGAACGUACAAACUGGCAGUCCGGGGUUCGACUCCCCGCGUCCGAA